AGUUGCGAUGAUGAUUAAACAUCUCGUUAAUCUGAUUAACAAAUGAGGAUAACUCUGUUUCCAUUCUUAACUAGAUUCUGAGC
Papaver somniferum (opium poppy) is the source of this 83-nucleotide small nucleolar RNA. RefSeq annotates it as small nucleolar RNA U30. Lineage: Eukaryota; Viridiplantae; Streptophyta; Magnoliopsida; Ranunculales; Papaveraceae. The record is from RefSeq and is a predicted model, not a curated record. The transcript has a single exon.